AUGCCGCAUUAACAGGCCUAAAUCCAGAGCUCUUUCAGCUUCUGUCAUCAAAAGCGGUUUUUUGUAUUCCAAUUUGUUUCUUUAAAUUAGAUAUUUAAUUUCCUUUAUUAUUUUUUUUUAUUCUACGCUAUUUUGCCAAACUAUAAAGGUGAACUGUGCCAAAUAAACACGCUUCUCAUUUAGGAAAUGGCUAAUAAGCUUGUGCUUUUGUUGGCCGCGGUGGUGCUGCUCGCGUUGGUCGCUGCCCAGGACGAUGAAGAUGACCUGCCGGUCUAUGAGCGGGCAGAGCAGGUGAACUUGGAUGCUGAGAAGGCACCGGGUCUGUUGCGUGUGCGCCGCCGUGGUGGUGGACAUGGCGGUGGACACAGCAGCGGACAUAGUGGUGCACAUAGUGGACGAGGUGGUGGGCAAAAAACACCAUCCACGAGACGUCCUCGUUACAAACUUUUUUGAGUAACAAUUGAGAGGAGAGUAACAUUUUUUGAUUGAAAAAAUAUGAAAGGCCUUAAUUUAUUUUGCUUCUAAACAGAACUUAACGACUGUAAUUUCAUAAGGCAAAAAUCAUAAUAAAUACAAUCUGUAUUUUUCAAUAAUUAUUAUGUGGAUCAAAUAAAUUAAUAGUUUUAUGUACC
This is a long non-coding RNA of Neocloeon triangulifer, 632 nucleotides long. RefSeq lists it as uncharacterized. NCBI's taxonomy places the organism in Eukaryota, Metazoa, Arthropoda, Insecta, Ephemeroptera, Baetidae. The record is from RefSeq and is a predicted model, not a curated record. The transcript is spliced from 3 exons.